RNAcentral lists this non-coding RNA (148 nucleotides) under Theropithecus gelada (gelada). The record is from Rfam by way of RNAcentral. Lineage: Eukaryota; Metazoa; Chordata; Mammalia; Primates; Cercopithecidae.
GCUGGGUGUGGUGGUGUGCACCUGUAGUCCUAAUUACUCGGGAGGCUGAGGCAGGAGAAUUGCUUGAACCCAGGAGGCAGAGGUUGCAGUGAGCUGAGAUCAUGCCACUGCACUCCAGCCUGGGCAACAGAGUGAGAUUCUGUCUCAA